ACACACACACACAUACACACGCACACACCUAGAUCAUUGAGGAAGCCAUUUUUACAAAUGUUAUGGCAGUGAUAAACUGAUAAUCUAUUUAUGUGUGUUUGUGUGAUUGUAACUGAUGCAGUGUCGUGAGACAGUUUUGGUUUUUAAUUUUUCAACCAUUCUUUGUAUGUACCUUCUUAAUUUGUGUAUGAUAGAAGGGAACUAUUUAGUCUUUCUUGCAAAAUCAAUCUAAAUGAUUGGAUCAAUUGAUGAAGAAGGUUUCUGUAAACUUAUAUAAUCAGAAGUUUUGGAUCAUUCACAGUUCUUGAUAUCCUAAAAAUUGUUAUGUUCCAUCAUUUCGAAGCAGUAGUUACAACAGUCCCUACUGGCACUGGGAGCUAAGAUGAAGGGUUUUCAAUGAUGUAGUUACUGCAAUAUGUCUGUAUAAAUUUCAACAGUGUUAGUCAUCUUCGUUAGAUGCCCAUAUAUAGAUUUAGGGUUGGUCAACUUUACUCCGGUAACUGAGUUUUUUUUCCCAAUGUGGAUUGAAGCUUAUGGUUGGCUUGUUAACAUGAGCGAUAAUAAGCUCAACUUUCUUCAGGCUUAUACUUAGUUAACCCUGAAGGAGAAGGGUCCCUGUUCCCUUCUGUGAACAGGUUUCUCAUUAGCUUCAGGGAA
RNAcentral lists this unclassified non-coding RNA (657 nucleotides) under Hevea brasiliensis (rubber tree). Lineage: Eukaryota; Viridiplantae; Streptophyta; Magnoliopsida; Malpighiales; Euphorbiaceae. The record is from RNAcentral.